RNAcentral lists this long non-coding RNA (975 nucleotides) under Medicago truncatula (barrel medic). RNAcentral's name for it is "long non-coding RNA (MTRU_LNC005904)". The record is from RNAcentral. Lineage: Eukaryota; Viridiplantae; Streptophyta; Magnoliopsida; Fabales; Fabaceae.
UAGUUUGCAACCGAAGAGUAGGAAUAACAAGACUUCAAAAGAAUACUACAAUCCUUAGAGUGUGGCUAAGAAAUUUGGAAUUUGACAGCAUAGUUCCUUUGGUGAUGAAUAUGUGGUCCCAAGCAUCAGCAAAAUCAUCUUAAUGUAGCCGAAGUUAAUAGGUUGAUAGGAUUGGCAUAAAGAAGGUUUAAGCUUUUCGAUAGCUUAUUUUUCUUGUUCAUCAGGAUCCCUUUGUCAAUCCUUUCAACAUGAUUACUCUUCAAGGGUGUAUCAUCGGCCACCAAAAAGGUAUUUUAUCCUUCCUUUCUAAUCUUACUUUCUGGUUUAUCGAUUUUUCCCUUCUCUUACCUUGGUUCAAAUCCUAAUGACGACCAAGGACAAGAUGAGUGUAGUUCAAAUCCAAUGAUGUCCAAGGACACCAAAAGAUCAUCCGAAUAAGCAUUUUGAAGAGCCUGAAGCAUUUUACAUAAAAAAAGUCUUCAAUCCUAGAGAUAGGUUCACUGUUUCAUGGUCCAACACACCACCACCCCUACCACCCCUAUUCAACAAGUACCUCCUCCUCCAAACAUAUCUAAACUAAAGUGGAAUGGUAGAAGCGGUUUUGCAGCAGGACGAAAUGUCUUCGCAAGGGUCCAGGGCUCACAUUUCCCAUUCCCAUUAACAGAUUUACAACAGGAUAUCCCUAUUGCUGAGUGAUAUGUCAAGAGACUAUCUAGGACUCAACGGUCAAUUUGUGCAAGAUUUCUUUGAUUUGCUUUUGUUUUCUGAAAUAUAUGUUUUAUCUCUAAUUUGUAGUAGGUAUAACUUUUAAUCUUGUGUUAAUUAUGAAUAAUUCAUGAAUUAGUAAGAAACGACAAAAUACGAAAUACUUAACUGACUUAAGUAAAUUUUUAGAUUUUGCUUUUGAGGAUGGAAUUAUUGAAGAUACAAUGUCCAUGUCCACAUGCGAAAUAUCAUACACGAGGAAUAGUCAAG